UCCAGACUCCUACGGGAGGCAGCAGUGGGGAAUAUUGGACAAUGGGGGAAACCCUUAUCCAGCGACGCCGCGUGAGGGAAGAAGGUUUUCGGAUUGUAAACCCCUGUCAGUGGGGACGAUAAUGACGGUACCCACGGAGGAAGCCACGGCUAACUACGUGCCAGCAGCCGCGGUAAUACGUAGGUGGCAAGCGUUGUCCGGAAUUACUGGGUGUAAAGGGAGCGUAGGCGGGAUGUCAAGUCAGAAGUGAAAAUUAUGGGCUCAACUCAUAACCUGCUUUUGAAACUGAUAUUCUUGAGUGAAGUAGAGGCAAGCGGAAUUCCUAGUGUAGCGGUGAAAUGCGUAGAGAUCGGGAGGAACACCAGUGGCGAAGGCGGCCUGCUGGGCUUUAACUGACGCUCAGGCACGAAAGCAUGGGUAGCAAACAGGAUUAGAUACCCCUGUA
This 445-nucleotide ribosomal RNA is filed under the name uncultured bacterium. RNAcentral describes it as "bacterial SSU rRNA". It matches the Rfam family "Bacterial small subunit ribosomal RNA", at positions 330 to 792 of the family's 1533-position model. The record is from RNAcentral.